CGCAGCCACUUCCGCCCGUCCUCCGGAAGUAGGAACCGGGCAACCGCUGGCUCCUCGCAUCCCGUCCAAUCGCCUGGCCCUUGCCCGCCCAUCACCACCGCCGCCACGGGAGCACGGGAGGUGGGUCUGCACCCUGGAGCCAGUCUACAGUGUUCGCGAGGUGGAGGACGAGGCGUUGCAGAAGCCCCCUGACCGGCUAGACCCUAUCUGGGUACCUGAACGAUUGGUGCGACGGGCCCCUCAGACGGAGAGACGUGAUGACACCCCAGAAGCUGAUGUGCCUGAUCCUGAUAGCCCUGAUUCUGACAAUCGUGCCAGUGGGAGCAGCUGAGGAUCGACUCACAAGCGGAACCUGGUCGGUGGAGUUUGAUAACCUGACCCAGAUCCUGCGCAAUGAGAUCAUUGCGGUCAACUCCACCCGUGUGCACCUGGCCUCUGCUGCAGAAAUGAUGUCUUGGCUGCGAAAUUCUAUCACCUUUUUAAAGGAGAGGGCGGGAUUAGGUGCCCUGGCAGGCCUACUGGUACUUGUCUCCCUGAUGUGCCUGUGGUGCAUUGUCCGUUUAAGGGUUUCUCAGCAGCGUAAUGCAGCCAUGAUUAUCCAAGCCUUUACAGCCAUAGAGGCUGGACAGUCUCCCCAGGCCUGGCUGGCCGCAUUAAAAGCUUGAUCGCGCAGGAUGCAAGGCUAGUGCACUGCACUUGGGUCUAGCUGUAUUGCAAAACCCAAGAAGAACAAGUCUGAUUGCAUGUGGGUUGAUACCCUAAUUCCCACCUCUGCAAAAAAGGGUAUCGGACGGGUCAAGUGUUCUCUGGGUGGAUGACACCUGGACUAACACCAGUACAAUGUCCAAGUUGUAUUUUGGCAGAGAUUAGACCUCUGCUCUUGCCUGCUGCUUAAAACAAUAAAGGGGGAACUGUAGAGAGCCGUGCACGGCCACGCCUCAAAGAUGGCACCGGCGUCCGGCUUCCGCCUUCCCGAUGGCAGGUGUUCUCUGGGAUAAACAACUCCUUAUUUGGCUUGGGCGUGGAAUCUGUCUUGCUUGCGUAUGUCUUACCCUAUCGGCAUUGUCCACGUGGCACUACGGGGUUGGUUGCCCAGUGGCUAUAAAGGGCGUGGGCUGGCUUUCCCUGGGGUCAGAAGAUUGUUCAAGGUUCCUGAAUUAACUGCUUGGAGAAGAGCCUGGUGUUGCAUCUUCCUUGCUGGUCGAGGCGGACGCGACAUCUUGGGACAAGGUUCAUCACCAACAGUCUUGAAGGAAAGUACCUUAGGUUUGAGAGAAAUACACCCUUUACUUCAAGUACAGCCAAACUCAAGUGGGGUAGUUGUGCUUCUUAAAUUCUGAGCUGGUUCUGAUUCUUAAAUUCAAGAGCUUGGUUCUGAUCCUAAUUCCAGUGACCAAUGCAUCAUGUACCCUGACCAGAUCACUUCCCUCUGCCUCUAAAACAUUUGAAAUUUGGAGAAAACAAUGUCAACAAACUUAAAACCUUGUAAUCCUUUAUCUAUUUUGAAGUGCUUUUUUAAAGCCAAAAUAACCAUUUUUACUUGUUGAAAGUAUUCAAGUGGUUAGUGUUUUAAGUAAUAAUAUUUAUUAAGCAUAUAGAGAAAUACAUCUGCUCAUCUUCCCCGGACACUCUCUGAUUUUUGCUAGGUAUGUGAUACAUUAUUUUCUGUCUUUACUCUGAGACAAAUAUGUUGUUACUAUAUCAUCCCUCUCGGAGCAAACACUAAGCUCCUUCAGAACAAUGGGAAGAUGUAAGUUAAAAGUGCCUCAGCAGUCCAGUUUGAGGGGUGGGAAGACCACAGGCUUCAUAAAAGUCCAGUCGACCACAGUACCUGCUACUUCACGGUGUUCUCACUGAUAAGUUGGUGUGUGUCUGUGACCACCGAUUUAUUCCUAGGAACUAUUAAAGAGCUGACUUUUUCAGAUGAUCUACCCUACUAAAAAAGUCAGACUAUUUGAGGUCAUGAUUGGGCUUAUUAGGCUUCCUUGCUUGCAUUCUGACAUGCUUUUUUGAGUGGUUGAAAAACAUCUGGGAUUUCAGUAGAGAACUGGGUAAUAUAUCAAUCAAAUGGAUCAGAGUUCCUCAGCUGCAACUGCAGGGGAAUACUAGGGGCGGCCGGGGGGUGGGGAGAGCUUGCCUUUUCUGCAGUUUGUCAAUAUUGGGAACAGCUCAGGCAGUUCAUCUCAGGGAAGAGACCAGAGACUGUUGGCCUGAGGCCCCCAAAGACUUGAGACCCAGCUCCUUUCAGCUUAGAUAUUCCUUCUCCUCCAUUUCCUGAAGUUAUCAGACUUUAUUACCAACUUAAAUGUCAUUCUCCUUGAAACUUCACUGUGUAGUUGAUACUUCUUUCUUGCCUGUAUUGAAAUUUACUCUAAAUAGUGGUCCCUGGUCUAAUCCCUUUCUGCAUUCCUCAGAUCCACAAUACCCACAGUAAUAGCCAGAGAAGGGUUGGAAAAGUGAGCAGCCCUCGGUACAUAGGAGACUGGAGCAGUCAUAGAAGAAACUUGGGUUCUAGUGAUUCACUGUGUGGAAAUCUUCCCAUGAAGAGGCUAUGGAAUCAAAACUAAGAAAGAAGAGUAGAAAAGAGAGUUAUAGAAUGCUGAUGAUUUAACUUGGCGAGUUAUAAGACAAGAAAUGGGAUAUCUAGGAAGAGGCCAGACUUAAAGUAUGAGUGAGUUUUACUCCUUCCAAUAAAAAGAAAAUUGCUACAGAAUAGAAUGCAGCCAAGAAAAUGUUAGAAAAUUGGUUGCACAUUGAAGAAAUCUGAACCAAGAGGACCAAAUUUGUGGAACAAUGGAAAACAGAAAAGAGGUAUUCCAAGAACAAAACAACAUACAUCAUCCCAUUAAAAAGUAAGGAAAUUUGAGGAGUCUAUCCUGCACAGGAGGAGCUAUGGCAAAGAGUGCAAGAAUAGGCUUGAGUUCAAAUGCUACCAUACUACAAAGCUUUGUACCCAUGGACAGACUCUUACCCCUCUUCCUCUGUGCCCAGGUUUCCUCACUUGCCGAAUAGAAAAGUAGCCUGUGUGUAAUUCUAUGAAAAUGAGGAGAGUUGUGAUGCUGUGUUAUACAAAAUGAAAGCUCUAGUUAGCCAUUUAUUUGAAAGAAGGAAAUUUUAGGAUAACCUUAUUAAAUUCUAGGAUCCCACAGAUGAGCAAAUUGUCAUUGCAGGAUAUUUAUUAUUAUUAUUUGCUUUGUUUUUUUGUUUAUUUUUGAGACAGGGUUUCUCUGUGUAACAGCUCUGGCUGUCCUGGAACUCACUUUGUAAACUCAAUUUACUAUCUACUUUUCUUUCUGGAUCACUCUUAGAUGGCUUUUGUGUGUUUAAAUCUUGUCUUCCAAUAUGGUUUUAGAUAUAGGAACUUGUGUUUUGGUCUUGUGUGCCUCUUAACAAGGUGAAAUACAUAGAGCUUAGUAAAUGGUUAUUGGUUUGUUUGUUUUUUAAUAAAGAAUUAUAAAUUUA
Peromyscus californicus insignis is the source of this 3462-nucleotide long non-coding RNA. RefSeq lists it as uncharacterized. The transcript has 2 exons. The record is from RefSeq and is a predicted model, not a curated record. Lineage: Eukaryota; Metazoa; Chordata; Mammalia; Rodentia; Cricetidae.